RNAcentral lists this ribosomal RNA (497 nucleotides) under uncultured bacterium. RNAcentral's name for it is "partial 16S ribosomal RNA". It matches the Rfam family "Bacterial small subunit ribosomal RNA", at positions 28 to 507 of the family's 1533-position model. The record is from RNAcentral.
GAUGAACGCUGGCGGCGUGCCUAAUACAUGCAAGUCGAGCGAACAGACGAGGAGCUUGCUCCUCUGACGUUAGCGGCGGACGGGUGAGUAACACGUGGAUAACCUACCUAUAAGACUGGGAUAACUUCGGGAAACCGGAGCUAAUACCGGAUAAUAUAUUGAACCGCAUGGUUCAAUAGUGAAAGACGGUUUUGCUGUCACUUAUAGAUGGAUCCGCGCCGCAUUAGCUAGUAGGUAAGGUAACGGCUUACCAAGGCAACGAUGCGUAGCCGACCUGAGAGGGUGAUCGGCCACACUGGAACUGAGACACGGUCCAGACUCCUACGGGAGGCAGCAGUAGGGAAUCUUCCGCAAAGGGCGAAAGCCUGACGGAGCAACGCCGCGUGAGUGAUGAAGGUCUUCGGAUCGUAAAACUCUGUUAUUAGGGAAGAACAAAUGUGUAAGUAACUAUGCACGUCUUGACGGUACCUAAUCAGAAAGCCACGGCUAACUACGUG